RNAcentral lists this ribosomal RNA (468 nucleotides) under uncultured bacterium. RNAcentral describes it as "partial 16S ribosomal RNA". It matches the Rfam family "Bacterial small subunit ribosomal RNA", at positions 28 to 507 of the family's 1533-position model. The record is from RNAcentral.
GACGAACGCUGGCGGCGUGCUUAACACAUGCAAGUCGAACGGAAAGGCCCUGCUUUUGUUGGGUGCUCGAGUGGCGAACGGGUGAGUAACACGUGUGUAUCCUGCCCUUGACUUUGGGAUAACUUCAGGAAACUGGGGCUAAUACCGGAUAUGAGCUCCUGCUGCAUGUUGUGGGUUGGAAAGUUUCGGCGGUUCGGGCUGGACUCGCGGCUUAUCCGCUUGUUGGGGGGGUAGUGGCUUACCAAGGCUUUGACGGGUAGCCGGCCUGAGAGGGUUACCGGCCACAUGGGGACUGAGAGACGGAGCAGACGCCUAAGGGAGGCAGUAGGGGGAAAUAUUGCAGAAUGGGCGGAAGCCUGAUGCAGCAACGCCGCGUGCGGGAUGACGGGUUUCGGGGUGUAAACAGAUUUCGACGGUGACGAAGAGGGAGUGACGGUAAUGGGUAAAGAAGCAACGGCUAACUACGUG